CCAUAUACCUGGGAUUGCCCACGUUCAAAACAGCUCUGGAGCAUUGUGAAAAUGCACUUUAAUGGCCAGCUGUGGGUGAAGAACUUUCCUCUGAAGCCAAGUGGUUUGAAGAAGUCAGUGUAUUGGCAGCCAAAUGGUAAAAAAUAAAUAAAAUCAUAAAUUAUGCAAAUAAACUGAUUUCACCUGCAUACAAUAUUAACUAAAGCAAAACUCCACAUCUGCCUUGCACAUUAAAUGUUUAUGUGAGUUUAUUCAUGUUUAAAGCAUUUCUAUUCAAUAUUAAUUAUACACACUUUUAAAAUGUGCAGCAAAAUAGUUGGAUGGAAAUCCAGUUUAUAUUGAUUUGUAAAAAGUUGACACAAAACGUCAAUGUAUGUCCAAAAGUAGAAUGUAACACUUAAGUAUAGGGACCAAUUCUCACUAUUAACUAGUUGCUUAUUAGCAUGCCUAAAAUUAACAUGUUGGCUGUUUAUUGGUAUUUAUAAAGCACAUGUUCUGCAUGAUCAUAUUCUACAUCCCUUGUCCUACACAAUACCUAAACUUGAAAACUUCCUUACUAACUAUUAAUAGGCAGAAAAAAAUAUGAGUUUAUUAAGGCAAAAGUCAUAGUUAAGGGUUUGUAAAUGGCGAGAAUUUGACCUUAAAAUAAAAUGUACCAAAGAAAAAAAAAAUUCUGAGCAAUGACAAAUGUUCAAUGGCAUUUAGUCAAGACCAAAAACAGUAUGUGUCAGUAGAAAGUGACUAAAAUAGAAAGAAAGAGAAAAAAAAGCAACAACAACAACAACCAAAUAUUCAAUGACAACGAUCCCUGUUCUCCACUAUAAUGUUUGGUAAUGACUUUUGAUGGAAAGCUAUUUUAAAAUGGAUUUUUAUUUAUUUAUUAUUUUAUUUAUUUUGAUUUAACUUCUACUGUGUAUGCGGAAUAAAUUCUUUCUUGCCAGAGUUGAGUUUGAGCUGAAAAAGCAAAAUCUAGAUUUCCAUAGCCUCCAUGCUCAUAUUGAACCAGGAACAGAGAAAAAUAGAGCAGGAACAUGAUUCUUAUGUUGCAUCCGCGAUUAUUCCAGCUCUGGGCGAUAUGUUUUAAUAAUGAGCCGCUUCUCUCGCAGAAGUCUGCAGCUUGCCAGUAAUGCCUGUUUCACAUGUCAGCUUGGACUGCUUUAAUCUCAAGCUCAUUACAGAGGAGCGGGGUGAGCAGAACACAACACAAGCCCGUGGCGUUGAAUUACUUUUCCACAGACCCACACACUCGUCAGGACCCCUGAGACGCAGCAGCCACACACACGGCCCGCUUCAAGCUUACUGGGCUUCUUUAUUGAGUUUGUCUCCCAUGCUGAGGGAGAAAAUUUACCAGCAGGUCAAAACAGGGCUGAAGAGAAGAACGGCAUCUUUUUCCCUUCCUUCAUACGUGCAAUUUAUAGCAUGAACUAUGUGGUUUUAGUGCUUUGAAAUUGCGAGGGCUCCUGUAGCGUAAACCGGAGUACAUGAGACCUACAGUUCACAGCAGCACUUCGCAAUGGUUAUCUGAGAGAGAAUGCAUGAGCAUCUGAACAGAUUAUCACAGAAAUCCCGUGAUUUCACUGACGUUUUAUCUCCUGCUAUCUUUACUUCUUAAUAAAUAAGGACUGAGAGACCGCUGUCGUCAUAUAUCGUACACAGUCAGCAUUCUUGGAGGCCUUUGGCCACUCAUUUGCAUGAAUUGCUCAGGCAGAUAAUGACAGGGGACGUUUCCUCCGGCCCGAGCAAUGACUGUAGCAGAUGAUUCAAUUACAUUUACCCAACCUGCAUUCAUUCCAUCACAACACCAGAAUGUCCCAUCUACAGAUACCUAAACCGGGAUUCAAUCUGGCGCAGCAUCACCUGGUGACGGUGGAUAUAUUGGAUUAGGCUUUAAUGCAUCUCAUGCAGACUCACGCAUGAACUAGAUAUUCUUUAGCAUUGUCUGCUACACGAGAAGAUGCACAAGAGGUUUCAAAAUCAACAUGGAAUCUGAAUUGAUCAUCUUUACUAUCUUCAUAAAGAUGCACAAAGCACGAAGAAGUCUUAAUGCACAUAGGUGCAAUAAUAAUUUUACCAUUGUAUAUGUGUGUAUGUAUAUAUAUAUAUAAGUAUACAUAUAUGUGUGUUUGUUUGUUCCUAAAUUCUUUUUUUUUUUUUUUAGUUAAUUUUUUUUUGUUUCGGUUUAAUGAUUUUAUUUUUUAUUUUUUUUAUUUAAUUGUUUAAUUACAUUUUAAUAAUAGGGAGGAUGUCCAGUGACACGUAUCCAUAAAACUUUAUUUUACAAUAUAUUGGCAAUAAUUAUGUGCUUUCAGUGUGUGUAGUAGAGCAAACUAACUCAGUAGUGCUUGAAUAUUCACACACACUCGUCCAUAUUCAUUCAUCUAAAAUUUGCCAAACAUCAUGACGUUCAGUGUGAUGAAGUAAAUUCCAUUUAAUGGCUGGAUUCUGAAAUUCCGGCCUAUGUUUUCGGCAUCACGGAAUCAAAGGGCACUAAGUUUCCCUUCAUAAUCUUUUAUUAAAAUAUUACUUGCUGCACCCCUUAAAUAACUUGAAACUGACAUUACAAAUGUCUUUGGUUUUUCCAUCUGUCCCUUCCAGCCACCUGCUCCUUUUCACAAUGCAAUCGAUUUCCAGCGGAUAAAAUCAAGUCUUGCCUGUUUCUCUCAGAAAUGUCUUUUAAAAACGCUGUUCAUCUUGAAAUCUGACUGAUCUAUAAUAAAUCCUGAAUGGCUAAUAACCAGUACAGUAGCUCAUAGAUGACACCUCAUCGUAAUAUCCGCUCACGUUCACAUAUGUUUCGCUGCUGUCCUUUGACUCUGAUGAGAGGGACUGUGUGGAUGGGUGAAGCUCUGAAGUGCUGACCACAUCCCUUCUCUGUGAGUCAAACAGUGCGUCUCAGCGCGACACAGCCAGCAUUCACGGCCCUCAUCCAGCUGUUACUCAGGCACUGAAUGGAAACUCUGUUGAGAUCAUCAUCAUUUCCCUGAUGAGGCUCCACCACAUCCUACAAUCCCACAAUCUGCCAGCCGGCUCCAAGCUGAGUUCAGAAGACUCAAGGAUCCUUGAAGAAGACUUAUGGUCUAUAGGGUUUCAAUAAUACUGCUCAUUUUCCAGUGUGCUAACCAUACAUACAUAUUAGCUGUAUUUAAAGAUAACUUGCUUUAAAUAGGCUGGCUAUUUUAGAGUUAUGCUUGCCGUUUCAUACUAGUAAUCUGUAGAUUUUAUAUUUACAUUUACCCAUUUGGGAAGACACUAUUAUGCAAAGCAACAUACAGUUUUUUUAAAGGUAUAUAUAUUUGAUCAUUUCAUGCAUUCCCAUGACCUUGAUGCGGCUAAUGCCAUGCUCUGCAGGAAUGACAAGCAGUCUGUAAAAUACAUUGUUCCGUCACUGUCACUAAUAACGUAAAACAUCAUAUUUAUAACAACAGAAGUAAUGCAGCUGGAAGGAGAACUGAUAAUGCAUGACAUGAUGUCUUCAUGUGCGUUCACUUCUGAAAAUGUUUCUUUUUUUAAGCCAAUCACCUGAACCAUAAAGGCCAUGUGACUGAUGAUUCUAUACACAAUGAUUUUCUCCAUAGAGGAACAGAUUUUGAAGGAUAACUCAUAAACCUUUACAGACAGACCUACAGCUUGGUUUAUAUAUAAUCAUGUUGUACAGCACAUUCAUGUUAUAAUUUGCAAACUGUUUCCAAAACAACACUUUAGCUCUGCCCACUCUUAUUUUAUAUUUGAAGCUGCAUCCCAGUUUGCACACUUUGCACUAUUCAGUGCUGUUUUGCAAUGUGGAAUGCAGCUAGAGGGGGAGGGGCUCAGACUCCAAUUAUGAAUGACCAAAUAACCUUAUAUAAUUCAUACACUACACGGUUGAGUACAUAAAUGCAUAGUCUAUAAGUGCAUAGUGUAUGGUACAUCAUAUUGUUUUUAGUUAAAUUAAUGUCAUUUGCAAAGCUUCAUUGGAUUGUAGUUCUUUGUAUUUUUGUCUGAUUUUCAAUUUUUUUUUGCUUCAAAUCAAACUCAGAAAGCAUGUUUCACACCAUCAGCAGACACUAGUUCAACACGUGUAAUAUCUUUUACUUUUUUAUGAUUUAUCCUUACAGUCAUGCUUUGCUUAACUUUAAUUUAGCUAGAUUUACCUUUAGUUUCCAUCAGAUGAUUCGGUCAUGUGUUUGUGUUGAUGGUGAGCUCCAGUAGUGCAUCUUGUGGACAGCUCAAGUGCACUAAGGUCAUGGAAAGGACUCGGCAGUAUCUUGUUAAAGUGGGAGCUCUCCGUGUCUGUCCCUGUGGGCUCAGAAUCUCAUUGCUCUGGCCCAGAAUCCCCUUCUCCACGUCAGACUGGUGAUGGGCAGGGGCUCGCGGGUCAACAACGAGGAGCUUUAGUGGAGUUAUGAAGGCAGGAUCCCCUGGUACUGCCGUAACAGACUGCAGCUCCAUCAGCGUCCUUCACCUCUAAACACUCACAGAGAGCAUCUGUAAACGUGGACAAGCAGCUCACGCUCCCUAUAAGGAUUAAACAAUCCGAAGUGAACAGCAAACCUGUCUCACACAUUAGCUGCCCACCUUCAAGUUUCAUGGGAUUUGAGCAGAGCAAACAGAACGCGUGGUCUUUGUUAUCAGUCCAGGUAAUAAGGAGGAAGCAAGGAAGAAGUGUUUGGAAAGACUCGGUGAAGAACAAACAAGCCGGGUGUUUGCAGAGGCUUGCUAAUGGGACGUUUCCCAGAGGACAUCACUCACAGCAGCGCCGAGACACAAGCAGCUCGCCCUGCCAUAAAUCUCUGCCUUAAACACCAUCACUCCUGUGACCCUGAGGAGAGUUCACGGCACGCAGCGACAUUUCACUUAAGGUACCGCCUACUGUCUUCAAGCCGACUUCAAGAUGUAGCUUUCAAGACGAUGGAUAAAUCAUCUGAUAGCUCUUCUAUUUCAUUGUGCCAUUUUGAUUUUUAGUAUGUAUAUAUAUAUA
This is a long non-coding RNA of Cyprinus carpio carpio, 4957 nucleotides long. NCBI's taxonomy places the organism in Eukaryota, Metazoa, Chordata, Actinopteri, Cypriniformes, Cyprinidae. The record is from Ensembl.